GACAGCAUGGAGGUCACAGCCCUCUGCAUCAGACUGUUGGUGACUAUGUUGACUCUGCCGUGUUCAUAUGCUCAGAAGCAUGAUGCAGCUCUCUGUAUCCAACCAAACAGGCUGCAGUUCUUUGAAUAUGAGACUGUACAUCUUCAUUGUGGGGGGUUUGGUGGUUCAACAGGAUGGAAAAUUGUACACAAGGUCAAAAAGGGAAUACCCAAAUGUGCUAAUACUAGCUCAUCCUGCAACAUUACAAAUGUUUAUC
Scomber japonicus (chub mackerel) is the source of this 256-nucleotide long non-coding RNA. RefSeq lists it as uncharacterized. The record is from RefSeq and is a predicted model, not a curated record. The transcript is spliced from 3 exons. Lineage: Eukaryota; Metazoa; Chordata; Actinopteri; Scombriformes; Scombridae.